CGAGACCUACGGGGCGCAGCAGUGGGGGAUAUUGCACAAUGGGGGGAACCCUGAUGCAGCGACGCCGCGUGGGCGAUGGAGUGCUUCGGCAUGUAAAGCCCUAUCAGCAGGGAAGAAAAUGACGGUACCUGACUAAGAAGCCCCGGCUAAAUACGUGCCAGCAGCCGCGGUAAUACGUAGGGGGCAAGCGUUAUCCGGAUUUACUGGGUGUAAAGGGAGCGUAGACGGCAGCGCAAGUCUGGAGUGAAAUCCCAUGGCUUAACCAUGGAACUGCUUUGGAAACUGUGCAGCUGGAGGGCAGGAGG
Molecule: ribosomal RNA, 305 nt
Filed under: uncultured bacterium
Lineage: Bacteria
Description: bacterial SSU rRNA
Rfam family: Bacterial small subunit ribosomal RNA
Source: RNAcentral